RNAcentral lists this ribosomal RNA (406 nucleotides) under uncultured bacterium. RNAcentral's name for it is "partial 16S ribosomal RNA". It matches the Rfam family "Bacterial small subunit ribosomal RNA", at positions 29 to 526 of the family's 1533-position model. The record is from RNAcentral.
AUUGAACGCUGGCGGCAGGCCUAACACAUGCAAGUCGAACGAGUGGCGGACGGGUGGGUAAUGACUGGGCAACUGCCUGAUGGAGGGGGAUAACUACUGGAAACGGUAACUAAUAACGCAUAACUUCGGAUGUGCCCAGAUGGGAUUAGCGAGUAGGAGGGGUAAAGGGUCACCGAGGCGACGAUCCCUACCUGGUCUGAGAGGAGGACCAGCCACACUGGAACUGAGACACGGUCCAGACUCCUACGGGAGGCAGCAGGGGGGAAUAUUGCACAAUGGGCGCAAGCCUGAUGCAGCCAUGGCGCGUGUAUGAAGAAGGCCUUCGGGUUGUAAAGUACUGGCAGCGGGGAGGCGUUACCCGCAGAAGAAGCACCGGCUAACUACGUGCCAGCAGCCGCGGUAAUUC